Grammomys surdaster is the source of this 386-nucleotide non-coding RNA. NCBI's taxonomy places the organism in Eukaryota, Metazoa, Chordata, Mammalia, Rodentia, Muridae. The record is from the annotation of a RefSeq genome assembly.
GCCUCCAUCAGAGCAUGGCUGUCCUGGUGCUGCUUCUCUGCCUGGUCACCUUUCCAAGCUGUGUCCUGUCCCAGGUGGAGCUGAAGGAGUCAGGACCUGACCUGGUGCAGCCCUCACAGACCCUGUCCCUCACCUGCACUGUCUCUGGGUUUUCGUUAACUGACUAUAGUGUACAGUGGGUUUGCCAGCCUCCAGGAAAAGGACUGGAGUGGAUUGGAGGAAUAUGGGGUGAUGGAAGCACAGCAGAUAAUUCAGCUCUCAAAUCCCGACUGAGCAUCACCAGGGACACUUCCAAGAGCCAAGUUUUCUUAAAACUGAACACUCUGAAAACUGAAGACACAGGCACAUACUACUGUGCCAGGCACAGUGAAAGAAAUCCAGUGUGA